RNAcentral lists this ribosomal RNA (881 nucleotides) under uncultured Glaciecola sp. RNAcentral's name for it is "bacterial SSU rRNA". It matches the Rfam family "Bacterial small subunit ribosomal RNA", at positions 381 to 1255 of the family's 1533-position model. Lineage: Bacteria; Pseudomonadati; Pseudomonadota; Gammaproteobacteria; Alteromonadales; Alteromonadaceae. The record is from RNAcentral.
ACCUGAUGCAGCCAUGCCGCGUGUGUGAAGAAGGCCUUCGGGUUGUAAAGCACUUUCAGUUGUGAGGAAAGGUUAACGGUUAAUACCCGUUAGCUGUGACGUUAGCAACAGAAGAAGGACCGGCUAACUCCGUGCCAGCAGCCGCGGUAAUACGGAGGGUCCGAGCGUUAAUCGGAAUUACUGGGCGUAAAGCGCACGCAGGCGGUUUGUUAAGCUAGAUGUGAAAGCCCUGGGCUCAACCUGGGAAUUGCAUUUAGAACUGGCAGGCUAGAGUUUUGGAGAGGGGAGUGGAAUUCCAGGUGUAGCGGUGAAAUGCGUAGAUAUCUGGAGGAACAUCAGUGGCGAAGGCGACUCCCUGGUCAGUAACUGACGCUCAUGUGCGAAAGUGUGGGUAGCGAACAGGAUUAGAUACCCUGGUAGUCCACACCGUAAACGCUGUCUACUAGCUGUUUGUGGAUUUAAUCCGUGAGUAGCGAAGCUAACGCGAUAAGUAGACCGCCUGGGGAGUACGGCCGCAAGGUUAAAACUCAAAUGAAUUGACGGGGGCCCGCACAAGCGGUGGAGCAUGUGGUUUAAUUCGAUGCAACGCGAAGAACCUUACCUACUCUUGACAUACUGAGAACUUAGCAGAGAUGCUUUGGUGCCUUCGGGAACUCAGAUACAGGUGCUGCAUGGCUGUCGUCAGCUCGUGUCGUGAGAUGUUGGGUUAAGUCCCGCGACGAGCGCAACCCCUGUCCUUAGUUGCCAGCCUUAAGUUGGGCACUCUAAGGAGACUGCCGGUGACAAACCGGAGGAAGGUGGGGGACGACGUCAAGUCAUCAUGGCCCUUACGAGUAGGGCUACACACGUGCUACAAUGGCGAGUACAGAGGGAAGCAAACU